Long non-coding RNA from Haemorhous mexicanus (house finch), 1437 nucleotides. RefSeq lists it as uncharacterized. NCBI's taxonomy places the organism in Eukaryota, Metazoa, Chordata, Aves, Passeriformes, Fringillidae. The record is from RefSeq and is a predicted model, not a curated record. The transcript is spliced from 2 exons.
AGCUCCGGGAGCCGCAGCAGCGGUGGGAGCAGCCUCGUUCCGCCUGCCCUGCGCUCCUCCCCGGCACCAGGGACACGGACACGCGGUGGGAGCAGCCUCGUUCCGCCUGCCCUGCGCUCCUCCCCGGCACCAGGGACACGGACAUGCGGUGGGAGCAGCCUCUUUCCCCCUGCCCUGCGCUCCUCCCCGGCGCUCCCGUGCACCAGGGACGCGGACACGCGGCCCCCGGGCGGGCGGGCACGGCCCGGGCACACGCGGGAUGCGGUUUGUCCCUGCCAGGGUCACACCCGGGACGUGGUCUGUCCCUGCCAGGGUCACAAUUAGCACCUUCAAGAGCCCAGGGGAAGGUUUGGGGUCAGUAGAGUGCUGUCCCGUGCCUGUCCCUCUGUCCUGAUGCCGCCUCUGUCUGUCCCUCCUCAGCAGGAGUUUCCCAGCGUGCAGGGGCUGUGGCACGGGCAGGAGCCGCCUCUCUCGUGUUUGCCAUGGAAAUUCCAGAGGGAAGAGGCUCAGGAGCUGCCUCUCUCCUGUUUGCCAUGCAAAUUCCAGAGGGAAGAGCUCGGGCAGGGCUGGGCUGGCCCACACUUUGCACGGGACAGGAGGAGGGGGGUGAGCUCCGGCUUUGCUGCAUCCCUCAGGUGUUCCCAGAGAUCUGCACUCGUCCCCUCCCCGCUGGGCACUGCAGGACCCACGCCUUCACCACCCCCUGUCUGGCCCCAGAGCUGGGCUCUGUCCCCCUGCAGAGAGGAAAGAGGCCAGAGAGCUCCUCGGACACUGCCCACAGCACACAGCCAGCACCCGCUCAUUGCCACCAAACCCAAAACCCCGGAGCACUGGGGGGUCCUGCUGGGACCCUCAGCCUCACCCCACCCCUUCCCCUGCUGCCUUUCCAUCUCUGGCACAGCACCACGAGCCCUCCUCCUGCUGCAGGGCCCAUCCUUGGGGCAGCCCGUGGAAGGGGCACGAAGAGCUCGGUUCCCCACAUUUCCUGAUGUCAUUAAACACCGAAACGCAGCAGACAGAAACCCUCAGAGCAGCAGGGAACUGCCAAAUUCCCCCAGACAACGUCAGCUCCUGGCCACAGAGAGAGGAAGAGCCAGGUAUGACCCUGCUCACACAAAGCCUUCAGUCAGAAGACUGGGGGGAAAGGGAAGGACCAAACUGAAGCAGAGAAAGAAGCUCUUGUGUGGCAGGUUAAUCCAGGUCACCCACCUGAGCAGGACACUCUGGAGCACCUGAAGGAAAAAUCCUGGUGCUGUGGUGGGUCCUGGAAUUGUCUCUGCCAAUGACUCUGAGCCUUUCCCUGCUCCCAGGUCAGCUCCUCGGGGGAGUUUUGGAGCCUCCUCCCCUGCCUCCCACCCAGUCAGGAAUUCCUUGACCCAAAUACUGCUCCUGUACUGGAAAUAAAUCAACUUUUAAUAUUUUACAAUUACUUUAAAA